This 69-nucleotide transfer RNA is filed under the name Puncturella cf. parvinobilis. RNAcentral describes it as "tRNA-Glu". Lineage: Eukaryota; Metazoa; Mollusca; Gastropoda; Lepetellida; Fissurellidae. The record is from RNAcentral.
GUCCCUGGGGUGUGAGGGCACGUUAGAUUUUCGUUCUAAAGGAAUAAAUGUGUGUAUUUAUUGGGGAUA